This 397-nucleotide ribosomal RNA is filed under the name uncultured bacterium. RNAcentral describes it as "partial 16S ribosomal RNA". It matches the Rfam family "Bacterial small subunit ribosomal RNA", at positions 523 to 918 of the family's 1533-position model. The record is from RNAcentral.
AUACGUAGGUGGCAAGCGUUGUCCGGAAUUAUUGGGCGUAAAGCGCGCGCAGGCGGUCCUUUAAGUCUGAUGUGAAAGCCCACGGCUCAACCGUGGAGGGUCAUUGGAAACUGGGGGACUUGAGUGCAGAAGAGGAAAGUGGAAUUCCAAGUGUAGCGGUGAAAUGCGUAGAGAUUUGGAGGAACACCAGUGGCGAAGGCGACUUUCUGGUCUGUAACUGACGCUGAGGCGCGUAAGCGUGGGGAGCAAACAGGAUUAGAUACCCUGGUAGUCCACGCCGUAAACGAUGAGUGCUAAGUGUUAGGGGGUUUCCGCCCCUUAGUGCUGCAGCUAACGCAUUAAGCACUCCGCCUGGGGAGUACGGUCGCAAGACUGAAACUCAAAUGAAUCGACGGGG